AGAUAUGAGGGCGAUCUGGCUGUGACAUCUGUCACCCCAUUGAUCGCCAGGGUUGAUUCAGCUGAUCUGGAUGGCUAGGUGAGUGUCCCCUUCCUCCCUCACUGCUCCAUGUGCAUCCCUCCCAAAGCUGCAUGCUCAGUCAAAGAGGAUCACCUUGCCCGAAUAGAGGAGGACCCGUCUUCGGUCAAGGGUAUACAAGUAGCUGCGCUCCCCUGUCUAGAACCUCCAAACAAGCUCAAGGUCCAUUUUUUGCAACAGUGCCACUUAGUUACCUGAACUCAUUCUUAAUUAUGUGACCCAAAAUAAUAUAGUGGUAUGUCACAGAAA
RNAcentral lists this small nuclear RNA (327 nucleotides) under Meriones unguiculatus (Mongolian gerbil). RNAcentral's name for it is "7SK RNA (ENSMUGG00000007955.1)". It matches the Rfam family "7SK RNA". Rfam says of the family: 7SK was discovered as an abundant small nuclear RNA in the mid-70s but a possible function has only recently been suggested. Two independent studies have found that 7SK RNA binds the CDK9/cyclin T complex (known as elongation factor P-TEFb). The record is from RNAcentral. Lineage: Eukaryota; Metazoa; Chordata; Mammalia; Rodentia; Muridae.